AUACCGGCAGCACGAGUGAUGACCGCUCUUAUUGGGCCUAAAGCGUCCGUAGCUGGCCACGCAAGUCUAUCGGGAAAUCCGCGCGCUCAACGCGCGGGCGUCCGGUGGAAACUGUGUGGCUUGGGACCGGAAGAUCCAGAGGGUACGUCUGGGGUAGGAGUGAAAUCCCGUAAUCCUGGACGGACCACCGGUGGCGAAAGCGCUCUGGAAAGACGGAUCCGACGGUGAGGGACGAAAGCUCGGGUCACGAACCGGAUUAGAUACCCGGGUAGUCCGAGCUGUAAACGAUGUCUGCUAGGUGUGCCACAGGCUACGAGCCUGUGGUGUGCCGUAGGGAAGCCGUGAAGCAGACCGCCUGGGAAGUACGUCCGCAAGGAUGAA
RNAcentral lists this ribosomal RNA (381 nucleotides) under uncultured bacterium. RNAcentral describes it as "bacterial SSU rRNA". It matches the Rfam family "Archaeal small subunit ribosomal RNA", at positions 473 to 853 of the family's 1478-position model. RNAcentral also lists the same sequence under 1 other name. The record is from RNAcentral.